RNAcentral lists this small RNA (546 nucleotides) under Pongo abelii (Sumatran orangutan). RNAcentral's name for it is "retained intron". The record is from RNAcentral. Lineage: Eukaryota; Metazoa; Chordata; Mammalia; Primates; Hominidae.
UCUGGCCUUGCUGCAGGUUUUCCAGCUUGCAGCUCAUCUGGUGUACUGGGGCAAGGCCAUCAUCAUCUACCCGCUGUGUGAGAACAACGUCUACAUGCUGUCUCCCAAUGCCAGCGUAUGUCUGUGAGUGCUGCUGGCUGCCACAGCCUGGAGCCCUGAGUGGGAAGGGGUGAGGCUGGCAGGGCCCUCCAGAUGCUGUUCUCUGUGUUGGCCAGGCACCAAAGGCUGUGGAAGCCCCAAGGCCAGGCUCUCACUUCAGCCUAACUCCUGGCCACUAGCGUGCCCAGGUCCCAAUUCUGGUCUGGCUCUGUGCUCUGUGGCUCUCCUGUGUCCCCCAUAUGCCUGGCCCCCUCCUCCAGGCUGGCUCUCCUAAUCCACCUUGAGGGAUCAGAGGUGAGAUGCAGGGUGAACUGUGCCCAUGGCUCCUGCUGCUGCUCAAGGGGAAGUGCCCAGGCUCUGUCCACCUGGAGGCCUGCCUGGCCUCAUACCGUUCUGCCCUCAUUGCACUGUCCUACCUACCAUACUUUGCUUCUCUGCUGUCCACUG